RNAcentral lists this transfer RNA (114 nucleotides) under Puccinia triticina. RNAcentral's name for it is "tRNA-Ser". It matches the Rfam family "tRNA". From Rfam's summary of the family: Transfer RNA (tRNA) molecules are approximately 80 nucleotides in length. Their secondary structure includes four short double-helical elements and three loops (D, anti-codon, and T loops). Lineage: Eukaryota; Fungi; Basidiomycota; Pucciniomycetes; Pucciniales; Pucciniaceae. The record is from RNAcentral. RNAcentral also lists the same sequence under 1 other name.
GACAACGUGGCCGAGCGGUUAAGGCGAUUGACUAGAAUGUUGAUUCUAAGGUUCCACUUGGACUCUGCCAUCAAUUGGGAUUUUCCCGCGUAGGUUCAAAUCCUGCCGUUGUCG